This 384-nucleotide long non-coding RNA is filed under the name Nicotiana tabacum (common tobacco). RNAcentral's name for it is "long non-coding RNA (NTAB_LNC008760)". The record is from RNAcentral. Lineage: Eukaryota; Viridiplantae; Streptophyta; Magnoliopsida; Solanales; Solanaceae.
ACUGGGGAAAAGUUCAGUUUAGGGUUGGGGCCUUAAUGCUGACUAAAGGGAAGAGUUCAGUUUAGGGUUUAAAACCCUAAUGCUGACUAAAUGGAAAAGGUUUAGUUUAGGGUUUGAAACCCUAAUGCUGACUAAAGGGAAAAGUUCAGUUUAGGGUUUAAAACCCUAAUGCUGACUAAAGGAAAAAGUUCAGUUUAGGGUUUAAAACCCUAAUGCUGAUUAAAGGGAAAAGUUCAGUUUAGGGUUUAAAACCCUAAUCCUGAUUAAAGGGAAAAAUUCAGUUUAGGGUUUAAAACCCUAAUCCUGAUUAAAGGGAAAAGUUCAGUUUAGGGUUUAAAACCCUAAUGCUGACUGAAGGAAAGAGUUGUCGGGUUAUGCCGGGGG